GCUUUUGAAGAUGAAGAGAUGAUGUGUUACAUCCUCAAUGAUCUUGAUCCCGAUUUCAAUCCCUUAGUAUCUGCUCUUGUAACUAGGGUCGAACCUAUCUCUCUCUCUGAAUUGUACUCACAGUUAUUAAGAUUUGAGA
This 139-nucleotide small nucleolar RNA is filed under the name Setaria italica (foxtail millet). RNAcentral's name for it is "Small nucleolar RNA Z247". It matches the Rfam family "Small nucleolar RNA Z247". Rfam says of the family: Z247 is a member of the C/D class of snoRNA which contain the C (UGAUGA) and D (CUGA) box motifs. Most of the members of the box C/D family function in directing site-specific 2'-O-methylation of substrate RNAs. Lineage: Eukaryota; Viridiplantae; Streptophyta; Magnoliopsida; Poales; Poaceae. The record is from Rfam by way of RNAcentral. RNAcentral also lists the same sequence under 1 other name.